CAGGAAAAUGAAUUAAUGUGGAGUGAGGGGAGAACAUGUUGAUUUCUUCAGAUCAAAUGAACAGCUUCAUUUUCAAGCUCAUUAAGCAUUCUCCCAUUCCUUUGUGAGUCUUCUUCAGCUCAAUAAAGAAGGAAACCCAUCCUGAAGUGCACCAGCACUAUGAGUAUUGAUUUGUUGUCUAAUAACUAAAGCGGAUUUUACUUAUUUGUCAGUGAGAUUCAAAAUGACCAACAGUGAGGAAUAACAUCUGCUAGUUUUCUCACCAUUCAAAGUAUACUCAAUAACAACGACAAAAUAAUAGCAUUCAGCUUAUCUCCAUUCCUCUCUCACUCUUCUCCAGAUAUUUGACAGGCUAAGUAAUUGGUCACUUUUAUAUUUCAAUGUGAUUUAUAAUAGCAAUAUAGUUUCUGACUUGGGAAAAGUAGAUAUUGAUUUAUGACUUAAAAAUGUUAAAACAUUGAUGUGCCAAAAACAGGUUGAAUAACAAAUGAAUCAUCAAGACUGACUAGGAAUUCUGGAUGUAUUUAAUUGGAUAUGGAAUACCAAGAGGUCUUUGAUAGUGAUCAGAAGACAACAAGGAGAAGGAAGAGGUCCAAGUCUCACCGUUCACUCUUGGUUCUAAUGAAUGAGGCUGGAUGAAGCACUUCACCUUUUUUACAUCGUGGUCUUUUCAUCAAUAAAACACAAUGUGAAGACUGUCUCUGACCUUCUGAGUAAGGAUUUCUUGGCAGUGCUGAACCCAAAAUGUUCCAAGGACUUAAUUCAAGAAAGAUGGGCUCGGAUUGCUUGGGAAUAUGCUACAUUAUUAACAGUGGUGGUAUCGGGUGAUUUUUAUUUCCUGUAGUUGCCAAAAUUUCUGCCAUGAAUAAAUAUUGGUAUUAUAAUUAGGAAAAAUUAAUACAUAUAAUUUAGACAAGAAAAAUGGAUUCAAGCCUCACCAGUGAGCAUCAUUAUGUCUAGAAAGGCAUGUGAGUGCACAACAUUGCAGAAAGAGGACAAUCUGGAGCCCAGAGGAGGGUGUCUGAUGUUUGCUCUUUGCAGCCCUUCAGACCCAAUUGCAGGCUGAUUCCCUCCCUGUCCUGAUUAUAUUUAUAGAUGUUUUUUUCCUUUUAAAAAAGACUCCUUCGGUGUCUUGUCUAUGACUCAUGAAUAGCAUCCCUGGAAAAUCUUAAUUAUAUGAAACUUCAAACUGUGAGGACUAAUUAGCUGUAAGUGUUAAUUGUUCUGCACUCAUCAGAGAAAGAGGUGUUAUAGAAAUAAAGAUUUUUAGCUGUUUUUUGUUAAAGUUGCAAACAAGUUAUUUAAGAUUCAUUCUCUUUGUUGGUUAGUUUUUCCAUGUUGGAUAUCAAAUAUUAUUGUGUGCCGCUCUGUCUACUCUGUUGAGUACCUUCCCUCUCAACUUUGAGUCACAUCAAAUUCUGAUUUGAUUUCUACCUAAGGUAUCCAGUGUCCUGCCUGUGCCUAUGAUGGCCUCCAGAUCAGCACUGCGUCUCCUCAUCCAGUUGUGUCGCUAUCCCCACUGGCCUUCAAGGUCAUGGGACAUUCGUUACCUCUACUAGAUCCCCAGGAGCCCAGAAAAUGAACUCUUUGGAGUCUCUGGAUGCCUGUAGCCAUGCCUUCUUGAUCUCUACAGAGGAACUUGAACUUCACUAAAAUAGGUUUGAUUCACUUGAAGGGAAGACACAGUUUAUGAGCUAGGCUUUCCGUUUUGGUGAAUUCAAGGUUAGCAGAGCUGGCUUAAUUGAAUUUCUUUUCUGCCUCUACAUUUUAAUGCAUUUCCUUUGUACGUAAGUAGUUUAGACAUUAGUGUAUUUUGCAAGUACCUAUGAGACAAAAAUUUUAAAUGGGAGCAUGCUUUCCACAUUUGGAAUUGGUUCACUGCACCUGGUAUAUUCCUAGAAGUCACAAAAUGGCAUUCAUAUGUUUUGGACAACUUUUCUCAGUACCUACUAUUUGCACCCUAAUAGCCACUAUUCCAGAGAAAACUAGAGUAAUUCUGGAAACUGUAGUCAUCAGAUAAUUAAAUCUGUAUGCAUAAAGGAAAAGCUGACAUCUCAGUUUUAAAGAGAAAAAUUUCUUGACAGGUUGACUGCUACUGUUGAGACCUCUUUUAUUAUUGUUCUUAAAGAUCUAAG
Molecule: long non-coding RNA, 2135 nt
Filed under: Homo sapiens (human)
Lineage: Eukaryota; Metazoa; Chordata; Mammalia; Primates; Hominidae
Description: HSALNT0089857
Source: RNAcentral